Molecule: non-coding RNA, 689 nt
Organism: Schizosaccharomyces pombe (fission yeast)
Lineage: Eukaryota; Fungi; Ascomycota; Schizosaccharomycetes; Schizosaccharomycetales; Schizosaccharomycetaceae
Source: the annotation of a GenBank genome assembly
GGAUAUCGAAAAAGGCUUAUUUUGCUCAACGUCGAGUGAAGGAGGACUUUGAGAGGUAGAUCCGUUUCCCCCCGAAACACUUGGUUGAGUAGUGGAAAGUGAAUCCUUACUUUGAAAGUCGGAAGAAGUUGACUCUAAAAUUGGAGCUCCAUAUAUGUUUUUAGAAAUUUCCUCAUUGUUGGUGUCCGAAACUGGAAUAUUAUUAUAAGUAUCUGAAGGAGUUAACCGAAUGUUGCUAGUAGCUGAGUUUAAUAUUGGUAUCUCCAAACUUCCAGAAGGAAUACCGGAUACUUGAUCAAAGUUUGCAUCAUCUGACUUAUUCCCAUCCUUAUUUUCUAAUGUACGUUCAUCAACGUUGUUGAAUAAAGUGUCGUCUUGUGUUUGUAAAGCACUUAUCGAAGCAGCAGCCUGUUUGACAGGUGAGUUGUAGUCUGGUUCAUAUGGAGAUGAUACCUGGUCUUGAAGCUCGGAGUUUGUACUGGUUUCUAAAAUAUUCUGCACAGGAGUUUCCACUUGGAACGAAGAAUCUUUAGACGAGGAUGACAUUUAUUGAUUGACUUGAAAAGUAAAACCAAAAUAAAACAUCAAAUUUUUUUAAUUUAUUAUUAUUAACAGGGAAUAUGAAGGAGAAUUAAGAGGACAGAGUAACAAAAACAAAAUUAGCUUUAAAAGAUUAAAGUACUAAAUUU